This 30-nucleotide non-coding RNA is filed under the name Rattus norvegicus (Norway rat). Lineage: Eukaryota; Metazoa; Chordata; Mammalia; Rodentia; Muridae. The record is from RNAcentral.
UCCACUUUUUUUCCUGCCUUUUUUGACUAC